This 439-nucleotide ribosomal RNA is filed under the name uncultured bacterium. RNAcentral describes it as "partial 16S ribosomal RNA". It matches the Rfam family "Bacterial small subunit ribosomal RNA", at positions 339 to 795 of the family's 1533-position model. The record is from RNAcentral.
CUACGGGUGGCAGCAGUGGGGAAUAUUGCACAAUGGGCGCAAGCCUGAUGCAGCAACGCCGCGUGAACGAAGAAGGUUUUCGGAUCGUAAAGUUCUUUUCUUGGGGAAGAAACCAUGACGGUACCCAAGGAAUAAGCACCGGCUAACUACGUGCCAGCAGCCGCGGUAAUACGUAGGGUGCAAGCGUUAUCCGGAAUCACUGGGCGUAAAGGGUGCGUAGGCGGUUUUACAAGUCAGAAGUGAAAGGCAAUGGCUCAACCAUUGUAAGCUUUUGAAACUGUAAGACUUGAAUGCAGGAGGGUAAGUGGAAUUCCUAGUGUAGCGGUGAAAUGCGUAGAUAUUAGGAGGAACACCAGUGGCGAGGGCGACUUACUGGACUGUUAUUGACGCUGAGGCACGAAAGCGUGGGGAGCGAACAGGAUUAGAUACCCCCGUAGUC